CAGCCAGCUUGGCUUUCUGGAUCAACUCGGUCUUAUCCAUGGUGGCUGGCAGUGGGGCGGGAGAGGUAUGGUAGCGAAGGCAGGAGAAGCUGGGGACGUCACGCUCCCAGUGAGAGAACGCACCUCAAAACCUGAGGGGCCGCUGGGCUGCAGUGGUGGGAUGCUGACGGCCCAGG
Long non-coding RNA from Oxyura jamaicensis (ruddy duck), 176 nucleotides. RefSeq lists it as uncharacterized. NCBI's taxonomy places the organism in Eukaryota, Metazoa, Chordata, Aves, Anseriformes, Anatidae. The transcript has 3 exons. The record is from RefSeq and is a predicted model, not a curated record.